AACGAACGCUGGCGGCAUGCCUAAUACAUGCAAGUCGAACGAUCACUUCGGUGGUAGUGGCGCACGGGUGCGUAACGCGUGGGAAUCUGCCCUUGGGUUCGGAAUAACUUCGGGAAACUGAAGCUAAUACCGGAUGAUGACGAAAGUCUAAAGAUUUAUCGCCCAAGGAUGAGCCCGCGUAGGAUUAGGUAGUUGGUGGGGUAAAGGCCUACCAAGCCUACGAUCCUUAGCUGGUCUGAGAGGAUGAUCAGCCACACUGGGACUGAGACACGGCCCAGACUCCUACGGGAGGCAGCAGUAGGGAAUAUUGGACAAUGGGGGAAACCCUGAUCCAGCAAUGCCGCGUGAGUGAUGAAGGCCUUAGGGUUGUAAAGCUCUUUUACCCGGGAUGAUAAUGACAGUACCGGGAGAAUAAGCCCCGGCUAACUCCGUGCCAGCCGCCGCAGUAA
This 449-nucleotide ribosomal RNA is filed under the name uncultured bacterium. Its description in RNAcentral is "partial 16S ribosomal RNA". It matches the Rfam family "Bacterial small subunit ribosomal RNA", at positions 29 to 523 of the family's 1533-position model. The record is from RNAcentral.